Molecule: long non-coding RNA, 223 nt
Filed under: Homo sapiens (human)
Lineage: Eukaryota; Metazoa; Chordata; Mammalia; Primates; Hominidae
Description: HSALNT0012224
Source: RNAcentral
GGAAGGUGCUCCGAACAGGGCCUCACGCGUGCUGUGGGAGGCGCCCCAGGGCUGACUUUUGCUUGGCUCCUUGCUAUGCUUUGCACGAUGCUCCUCUAAAGGGUCAGAUUCUGCUAGUGACCAAGCUACAGCUUGGGUGCAUGGUGUGGACAGAAUUAGACACUUUCACCUGGGAUUCCCCUAAACAGUUGAUGGUCCUGAGCCCUGCCUCUAUACCGAGCUC